Molecule: long non-coding RNA, 1520 nt
Filed under: Capra hircus (goat)
Lineage: Eukaryota; Metazoa; Chordata; Mammalia; Artiodactyla; Bovidae
Description: lncRNA (ENSCHIG00010008477.1)
Source: RNAcentral
AUAUGUGAUGAUUCAGCUCACAACUUUCUUCAGUUUUCAAAAUUUCUCAGUCAUCAUCUUCUGAAUAUUGUCUGUUCUGAAGUGUCUCUGUUAUCUCUGCAGAAAUCCUAGUAGGAAUAUAUUGGGCCUUCAAACUCUGUUCUUUAUGCCUCUUAAUAUUUAUUUGUUUUUAUUUUAUUUAUUUUUGGCUGCUCUGGGUCUUGGUUGCUGCGCUCAGGCUUGCUCCAGGUGCAGAGAGUAGGGACCACUCUCUCGUGGUGGUGUCUGGGCUUCUCAAUGUAGUGGCUUCUCUUGCUAUGAAGCAUGGGCUCUGGGGUAUGCAGGCUUCAGUUGUUGUGAUUCAUGGGCUCCAGGGCACAGGCUCAGUACUUGUGGCAUACGGACUUAGUUGCCCCACGGCAUGUGGGAUCUCUCCAGACCAGGGAUAGAACCCGUAUCCCCUGCAUUGAAAAGUGGAUUCUUAUCCACUGUACCACCAAGGAAGUCCAAGAACAAGGUACCUUUUCAUCUUUAUAAAUAUACAUUAAAUUUUUUUUUCUCUACAUCCAGGUUACGUUGUCAAUUAUUGAACUGGAGAAAAAAAAAAAAAAAAACCAGAUGGCUAACUCUCUUCCAAAAGUGUAGCUGUCUGUGAAACCCAGCUAGCCCUGGUGGCUCAGACAGUAAAGAAUCUGCCUGCAAUAUGGGAGGCCUGGGUUCAGUCCCUGGGUUGGGAGGAUCCCCUGGAGAAGGCAAUAGCAACCCACUCCGGUAUCUUGCCUGGAGAAUUCCAUGGACCGAGGAGCCUGGCAGGGUGCAGUUUAUGGGGUCGCAAAGGGUCAGACACAACUAAGUGACUAAGCGCACACUCUAUGCAACAGGAAAACAGUGAAGACAAGGAAGCUUAAACAAGUUUUGUGGAAAUAAUCUGGUUCAAGACACUUCAUAGAGUUAUCUGACUCUCCUUGUUGUAUUAUCAAAAUAUCUGGUUGUCCCACUAUUUGAUGAUGUUAAAUUUGAUCACUUGUUUAAGAUAACCCACCAGAUUUUUCCACUACAAAAGUAAAGUUUAGUGAUUGAUAGGAAAUCUGUGGGGAAGGCAUGUAUGCAACCCUUUCCUCAAUAAUGUUUCAUCUAAUGGUUUUAGCAUUUAUUGAUGAACCUUGCUUGAAUCAAAUAUUCCCUGAGGGUUGCAAAAUAGCAAUUUAGAAUACAGCAUUCUAUUCACAUGUAUUAGCUGUUUUCUUCUAUAAGGAAGAGCUUUUAGGGUAUUGGGUUUUGAAUCCAAAGACCUGAACAAAAACUUUUAACCUGAAUCUAAUGAUGAGGAAAUUAGUUAAAUUCAUAUCAUCUUCUCUGGACUCUUCAAAAGAAGUCAGUGUCUGGGCUGGUGAAUAAUAUUCUUAAGGGACAUAAAAACCUGAGGAAGUGUGUUAGAUCCUGAAUUUUAAAAAAAGACAGAGAGAAAACAGCUAGAAAAGCCAUUUUGAGAGAACUGGGAAAACUUGAAUAUAUUGUGUACAUGAGAUGAUAUUGAAGAA